RNAcentral lists this unclassified non-coding RNA (215 nucleotides) under air metagenome. Its description in RNAcentral is "partial contains small subunit ribosomal RNA, internal transcribed spacer 1, and 5.8S ribosomal RNA". The stretch from base 1 to 46 matches the Rfam family "Eukaryotic small subunit ribosomal RNA", at positions 1786 to 1831 of the family's 1831-position model. The record is from RNAcentral.
AAGUCGUAACAAGGUUUCCGUAGGUGAACCUGCGGAAGGAUCAUUACCAAAGUACAGCGGGCUUCGGCCCUGUCUGCACCCUUGUCUUUUGCGUACUAUUCGUUUCCUUGGUGGGCUUGCCCGCCAAAAGGACACUAUAAAACCACUUGUAAUAGCAAUCAGCGUCAGAAUAACUAUAAUAGUUACAACUUUCAACAACGGAUCUCUUGGUUCUG